This 250-nucleotide ribosomal RNA is filed under the name uncultured bacterium. Its description in RNAcentral is "partial 16S ribosomal RNA". It matches the Rfam family "Bacterial small subunit ribosomal RNA", at positions 524 to 775 of the family's 1533-position model. The record is from RNAcentral.
UACAGAGGGGGCAAGCGUUGUUCGGAAUUACUGGGCGUAAAGGGCGCGUAGGCGGCCUUCUAAGUCGAACGUGAAAUCCCCGGGCUCAACCCGGGAACUGCGUCCGAUACUGGAAGGCUUGAAUCCGGGAGAGGGAUGCGGAAUUCCAGGUGUAGCGGUGAAAUGCGUAGAUAUCUGGAGGAACACCGGUGGCGAAGGCGGCAUCCUGGACCGGCAUUGACGCUGAGGCGCGAAAGCCAGGGAGCAACGG